CCUUCGGGGUACACGAGCGGCGAACGGGUGAGUAACACGUGAGCAACCUGCCCCUGACUCCGGGAUAAGCGGUGGAAACGCCGUCUAAUACCGGAUACGACCCGCCACCUCAUGGUGGAGGGUGGAAAGUUUUAUCGGUCAGGGAUGGGCUCGCGGCCUAUCAGCUUGUUGGUGGGGUAACGGCCUACCAAGGCGAUUACGGGUAGCCGGCCUGAGAGGGCGACCGGCCACACUGGGACUGAGACACGGCCCAGACUCCUGCGGGAGGCAGCAGUGGGGAAUAUUGCACAAUGGGCGAAAGCCUGAUGCAGCGACGCCGCGUGGGGGAUGACGGCCUUCGGGUUGUAAACCUCUUUUACCACCAACGCAGGCUCCACGUUCUCGUGGGGUUGACGGUAGGUGGGGAAUAAGGACCGGCUAACUACGUGCCAGCAGCCGCGGUAAUACGUAGGGUCCGAGCGUUGUCCGGAAUUAUUGGGCGUAAAGAGCUCGUAGGCGGCAUGUCGCGUCUGCUGUGAAAGACCGGGGCUUAACUCCGGUUCUGCAGUGGAUACGGGCAUGCUAGAGGUAGGUAGGGGAAACUGGAAUUCCUGGUGUAGCGGUGAAAUGCGCAGAUAUCAGGAGGAACACCGGUGGCGAAGGCGGGUUUCUGGGCCUUACCUGACGCUGAGGAGCGAAAGCAUGGGGAGCGAACAGGAUUAGAUACCCUGGUAGUCCAUGCCGUAAACGUUGGGCGCUAGGUGUGGGGACUUUCCAC
This 757-nucleotide ribosomal RNA is filed under the name Nocardiopsis sp. 8CM1. RNAcentral's name for it is "bacterial SSU rRNA". It matches the Rfam family "Bacterial small subunit ribosomal RNA", at positions 77 to 836 of the family's 1533-position model. The record is from RNAcentral. Lineage: Bacteria; Bacillati; Actinomycetota; Actinomycetes; Streptosporangiales; Nocardiopsidaceae.